RNAcentral lists this ribosomal RNA (365 nucleotides) under uncultured Capnocytophaga sp. RNAcentral's name for it is "bacterial SSU rRNA". It matches the Rfam family "Bacterial small subunit ribosomal RNA", at positions 527 to 896 of the family's 1533-position model. The record is from RNAcentral. Lineage: Bacteria; Pseudomonadati; Bacteroidota; Flavobacteriia; Flavobacteriales; Flavobacteriaceae.
GGAGGAUGCGAGCGUUAUCCGGAAUCAUUGGGUUUAAAGGGUCCGUAGGCGGGCUGAUAAGUCAGAGGUGAAAGCGCUUAGCUCAACUAAGCAACUGCCUUUGAAACUGUCAGUCUUGAAUGAUUGUGAAGUAGUUGGAAUGUGUAGUGUAGCGGUGAAAUGCUUAGAUAUUACACAGAACACCGAUAGCGAAGGCAUAUUACUAACAAUUUAUUGACGCUGAUGGACGAAAGCGUGGGGAGCGAACAGGAUUAGAUACCCUGGUAGUCCACGCUGUAAACGAUGGAUACUAGCUGUUUGGAGCAAUCUGAGUGGCUAAGCGAAAGUGAUAAGUAUCCCACCUGGGGAGUACGCACGCAAGUGUG